UACCCUUGACAUGUCCGGAAUCCCGAAGAGAUUUGGGAGUGCUCGCAAGAGAGCCGGAACACAGGUGCUGCAUGGCUGUCGUCAGCUCGUGUCGUGAGAUGUUGGGUUAAGUCCCGCAACGAGCGCAACCCUUGUCAUUAGUUGCCAUCAUUUGGUUGGGCACUCUAAUGAGACUGCCGGUGACAAACCGGAGGAAGGUGGGGAUGACGUCAAGUCCUCAUGGCCCUUAUGGGUAGGGCUUCACACGUCAUACAAUGGUCGGUACAGAGGGUUGCCAACCCGCGAGGGGGAGCUAAUCCCACAAAGCCGAUCGUAGUCCGGAUCGCAGUCUGCAACUCGACUGCGUGAAGUCGGAAUCGCUAGUAACCGUGGAUCAGCAUGUCACGGUGAAUACGUUCCCGGGUCUU
Molecule: ribosomal RNA, 407 nt
Filed under: uncultured Rhodocyclaceae bacterium
Lineage: Bacteria; Pseudomonadati; Pseudomonadota; Betaproteobacteria; Rhodocyclales; Rhodocyclaceae
Description: bacterial SSU rRNA
Rfam family: Bacterial small subunit ribosomal RNA
Source: RNAcentral